RNAcentral lists this ribosomal RNA (547 nucleotides) under Otibazo sp. ARC2572. Its description in RNAcentral is "SSU rRNA". It matches the Rfam family "Eukaryotic small subunit ribosomal RNA", at positions 32 to 581 of the family's 1831-position model. Lineage: Eukaryota; Metazoa; Arthropoda; Insecta; Coleoptera; Curculionidae. The record is from RNAcentral.
UUGUCUCAAAGAUUAAGCCAUGCAUGUCUCAGUACAAGCCAAAUUAAGGUGAAACCGCGAAAGGCUCAUUAAAUCAGUUAUGGUUCCUUAGAUCGUACCCACAUUACUUGGAUAACUGUGGUAAUUCUAGAGCUAAUACAUGCAAACAGAGCUCCGACCGGAAGGAAGGAGUGCUUUUAUUAGAUCAAAACCAAUCGAUUGCGGUUGGUGACUCUGAAUAACUUUACGCUGAUCGCACGGUCAUCGCACCGGCGACGCAUCUUUCAAAUGUCUGCCUUAUCAACUGUCGAUGGUAGGUUCUGCGCCUACCAUGGUUGUAACGGGUAACGGGGAAUCAGGGUUCGAUUCCGGAGAGGGAGCCUGAGAAACGGCUACCACAUCCAAGGAAGGCAGCAGGCGCGCAAAUUACCCACUCCCGGCACGGGGAGGUAGUGACGAAAAAUAACGAUACGGGACUCAUCCGAGGCCCCGUAAUCGGAAUGAGUACACUCUAAACCCUUUAACGAGGAUCAAUUGGAGGGCAAGUCUGGUGCCAGCAGCCGCGGUA